GGCCCCAUCGUCUAUCGGUUAGGACACCAGGUUCUCAUCCUGGGAAGAGCAGUUCGACUCUGCUUGGGGUCA
This 72-nucleotide transfer RNA is filed under the name Minisyncoccota bacterium. RNAcentral's name for it is "tRNA-Glu". It matches the Rfam family "tRNA". From Rfam's summary of the family: Transfer RNA (tRNA) molecules are approximately 80 nucleotides in length. Their secondary structure includes four short double-helical elements and three loops (D, anti-codon, and T loops). Further hydrogen bonds mediate the characteristic L-shaped molecular structure. tRNAs have two regions of fundamental functional importance: the anti-codon, which is responsible for specific mRNA codon recognition, and the 3' end, to which the tRNAs corresponding amino acid is attached (by aminoacyl-tRNA synthetases). tRNAs cope with the degeneracy of the genetic code in two manners: having more than one tRNA (with a specific anti-codon) for a particular amino acid; and 'wobble' base-pairing, i.e. permitting non-standard base-pairing at the 3rd anti-codon position. Lineage: Bacteria; Bacillati; Minisyncoccota. The record is from RNAcentral.